CCUACGGGAGGCAGCAGUGGGGGAUAUUGCACAAUGGGGGGAACCCUGAUGCAGCGACGCCGCGGGGGUGAAGAAGCGCCUCGGCGCGUAAAGCCCUGUCAGCAGGGAAGAAAAUGACGGUACCUGAAGAAGAAGCCCCGGCUAACUACGUGCCAGCAGCCGCGGUAAUACGUAGGGGGCAAGCGUAAUCCGGAUUUACUGGGAGUAAAGGGGGCGCAGACGGCGAUGCAAGCCAGGAGUGGAAGCCCGGGGCCCAACCCCGGGACUGCUCUUGGCACUGCGUGGCUGGAGUGCGGGAGGGGCAUGCGGAAUUCCUGGUGUAGCGGUGAGAUGCGUAGAUAUCAGGAGGAACACCGGUGGCGAAGGCGGCCUGCUGGACUGCAACUGACGUUGAGGCCCGAAAGCGUGGGGAGCAAACAGGAUUAGAUACCCUUGUAG
This 438-nucleotide ribosomal RNA is filed under the name uncultured bacterium. RNAcentral describes it as "partial 16S ribosomal RNA". It matches the Rfam family "Bacterial small subunit ribosomal RNA", at positions 338 to 793 of the family's 1533-position model. The record is from RNAcentral.